CCUACGGGAGGCUGCAGUGGGGAAUAUUGGACAAUGGGGGGAACCCUGAUCCAGCCAUGCCGCGUGUGUGAAGAAGGCCCUCGGGUUGUAAAGCACUUUCAGUGAGGAAGAACGCCUGGUGGUUAAUACCCAUCAGGAAAGACAUCACUCACAGAAGAAGCACCGGCUAACUCCGUGCCAGCAGCCGCGGUAAUACGGAGGGUGCGAGCGUUAAUCGGAAUUACUGGGCGUAAAGCGCGCGUAGGUGACUUGAUAAGCCGGUUGUGAAAGCCCCGGGCUCAACCUGGGAACGGCAUCCGGAACUGUCAAGCUAGAGUGCAGGAGAGGAAGGUAGAAUUCCCGGUGUAGCGGUGAAAUGCGUAGAGAUCGGGAGGAAUACCAGUGGCGAAGGCGGCCUUCUGGACUGACACUGACACUGAGGUGCGAAAGCGUGGGUAGCAAACAGGAUUAGAUACCCCAGUAGUC
This 465-nucleotide ribosomal RNA is filed under the name Vreelandella stevensii. RNAcentral's name for it is "partial 16S ribosomal RNA". It matches the Rfam family "Bacterial small subunit ribosomal RNA", at positions 338 to 795 of the family's 1533-position model. The record is from RNAcentral. Lineage: Bacteria; Pseudomonadati; Pseudomonadota; Gammaproteobacteria; Oceanospirillales; Halomonadaceae.